CAAAGGUAAAACUGUUGUUCUCCACCGGUGAUGAAACCCCAUUUCUGAAAGUGAUGCCUCAGGACCCCCUGCAUGUGUCAUAACUCAUAAGGAUGUGUUGUUUUCUGUUUCUUCGUACAGGGCACUUGGAUCUUCGACAGAUCUGAGAGGAAAUGGUGUUCCAGCUUCAGAUCCAGUAAGAAAAUGCAAGAGACAUCUCAAAGUGUUUGAUCUAUGAAUCUUUGCACCAUUGAGUAUUUAAGUGAGACAUAGUCUGGUUCAUGAAAGGCAUAUGCUGAGUAAUACUCUGUUCUGGUAUAUGUAGGAACCCCAAUGUGGCUUCGGUGCAGCAAUGAUAAAGUACAUGAACCACGCAGACAUCUCGAAAUCUGUUGUCCAUAUGAAGGAUAGGCAGAUCAAUAAUAGAUCCGAGUGAAAGAAAAGGAAUACACCCGCUUCAGUAAACAAGAACAGUAAGAGCGUCUAAAAGGCCUGAUUGGUGCAUAUGGGAGGUCCCCAGAAAAUAAAGACUGCAGAAAAGUCCCCUGCAAAGAAGGAACCCACAGCAAAUUUUUCUCUCUACGUCCUCUCCCUAAAGUUUGUUCAAGUUUUGGACUGCACUGUUGAAUGGGUGUUGACCAUGCACAGAUUAUCUUUGUAAUCAGCAUUGUACUGUUGUAAUCUGUAAAAAUAAAAUAAAAACAAAUUUUUAUUUUA
Non-coding RNA from Malus domestica (apple), 696 nucleotides. The record is from RefSeq and is a predicted model, not a curated record. Lineage: Eukaryota; Viridiplantae; Streptophyta; Magnoliopsida; Rosales; Rosaceae.